This 282-nucleotide ribosomal RNA is filed under the name Triticum aestivum (bread wheat). RNAcentral's name for it is "partial small subunit ribosomal RNA". The record is from RNAcentral. Lineage: Eukaryota; Viridiplantae; Streptophyta; Magnoliopsida; Poales; Poaceae.
AUGCAUGUGGCAACACCAGGGCGCAUUGUUUUGGUCAAAGCAGUCCUCACGGCCAUUGCUAUAUACCACCUCACACCUCUUGACCUCCCGGUUGAAGUUAGGAAAAAGAUUGAUAGUCUGAGGCGCGGCUAUCUAUGGGCGGGUUGCGAUACGGUGACGGGAGGCAAAUGUAAAGUUAACUGGAACCUUGUGUGCAAGCCCAAGAUCUAUGGGGGGCUGGGUGUGUUAGACUUGGAAAAGUUUGCUUCUGCUCUGCGUCUUCGUUGGCUUUGGUUCGAAUGA